CAGGGAGGUAGUGACAAUAAAUACCUUACAGAGGUCUCGUUAACCGAGAUCUCUCAAACGGAAUGAGUACAACGUGAAUCCUUUAACGAGGAUCGACUGGAGGGCAAGCCUGGUGCCAGCAGCCGCGGUAAUUCCAGCUCCAGUAGCGUAUAUUAAAGCUGUUGCGGUUAAAAAGCUCGUAGUUGGAUAUCAGUGCGUGUCCGGUCCGGUAUGCCUGGCGGCGGCGCUCGCGCGUCACUGCUGGGCUCCCAAAUAUCGGCUGGCCGCAUUCAAUCGUGCCGGAUCCGUCGUCGGGCCGUUCUUCGGAGGGGCCUGGUGGCGACCGGCGACGUUACCUUGAACAAAUUAGAGUGCUCAAAGCAGGCUCUGUAUGCCUGUAUACAUAUUCAUGGAAUUGGAGAAUACGUCCCUGGCUCGAUUUGGUUGGUUUUGAGAGUCGAAGGGAAAUGAUUAAUAGGGACUGACGGAGGCAUUCGUAUUGCGACGCGAGGGGUGAAAUCCUGUGACCGUCGCACGACGAACUACUGCGAAAGCAUUUGCCGAGAAUGUUUUCAUUAGUCAAGAACGAAAGUUAGAGGUUCGAAGGCGAUCAGAUACCGCCCUAGUUCUAACCGUAAACGAUGUCGACCAGCAAUCCGCAACGGUCACUACACGGACUGUGCGGGCAGCUUCCCCGGGGAAACCAGAGUUUUUGGACUCCGGGGGAAGUAUGGUUGCAAAGCUGAAACUUAAAGGAAUUGACGGAAGGGCACCACCAGGAGUGGAGCUUGCGGCUUAAUUUGACUCAACACGGGACAACUCACCAGGCCCGGACACUGUAAGGAUUGACAGACUGAUAGCUCUCUCUUGAUUCAGUGGGUGGUGGUGCAUGGCCGUUCUUAGUUGGUGGAGUGAUUUGUCUGGUUUAUUCCGAUAACGAACGAGACUCUGGCCUAUUAAACUUGACACUGUCAGUCUCUUGUGACUGCGG
This 970-nucleotide ribosomal RNA is filed under the name Amphibalanus sp. Bcl7517PM1857. RNAcentral describes it as "SSU rRNA". It matches the Rfam family "Eukaryotic small subunit ribosomal RNA", at positions 457 to 1385 of the family's 1831-position model. Lineage: Eukaryota; Metazoa; Arthropoda; Thecostraca; Balanomorpha; Balanidae. The record is from RNAcentral.